UGUCACUGGCAGGAUACGCGCUCUAAUUGAGCACUGCUUGACAUACAGCUCACACACAGCAGCGGAGACGGAGGCAGACAGCAGCUAGGUGAUUUCAGCUUCAGCGGUGGAAGAGUUUCUCCCCUUUAUUAUUUUUUGACCAACAAAUGUCAGCGGAUUUCUCUUGGGCUGCCCUUUGUUUGUUGUUGGGAACUGCCUCAACCUACCUAGCUACGCGAGAGAAAGAAAGAUAGACACUGCAAAAGAGCCGAGCAUCUGCUAAUUGUCGAUUACCACAGGAGCCAUGGUGGCAGCAGUCCUUAAGUUGUAUUUUAUUGGAACUGCGCUGAGCGUCCUUGCAGUCAUUUUUGGAAUAGUAGACUCAUUUGGUGGUCUGAUGUACACCCAGGACCAUCACUACAUUUUGGACUUGGACCAACAGACACAGAGGCAGCUGUCCUCGAGCAACCACCGGAGAGGAUCGCCCGUGACUAAAAACAUUGGCUCAUAAGGGAAACAUCUGGCACAAUUUACAAAAAAUGGCAGCUGGAUGGGCAUGCUGGCUACUGUGGCAAUGGAUCAAUAGACAGUGAGACUACGUUUAUAAAGACUGGAGAUAGCAAUUAUCCGGAUUGUUCUAUUGCUGAGUAUGGACUUCAAUGCAAUGUCUAACUUUCUAUGCGUUCUGUGUUAGACAGUUUGUUGAUAUGGAUGCAUAACCCCACAGCAUGUGUUUGUGUUUGCGCUACUCUUUAUGCUUUAAACACUGUAUCAGCUAAGAUGUGUUAAAGAAACUCCAAAUUGGAUGAGAACUGUAACAUCACUACUGACAAUAAUUAGCACUAAAAUCAGAAUGUUUUGUCUUUGCGAUGUGUGUAUUUUGAGGGUUUUAGUAUUCAAAUAAAAUGUAUUUUUUUUUUUAAACAUUGAAGUGUUGCAAUGAGUAAGAACUGCUGCCUCUCUUGGCUACAGAAAGACAUGGACUUCCUGUUUACUGAAGAGUUAGUUGGAAGCUGACGAAUAAGUAUAAAAUGAAGUGAAAAAUACUGACACAAUUUCAGCAUUGAUUUAGGAACUAAAGGUUGAGCCUUGUGUGAUUGCUGAAGUGCUGUGACGCAUAGGAUUUUUCUCUGUUGAAGCAUGGUGACAUACCACUGGUUGACUGACUGGCUUUUCAGCUAAGUGCAUUGAGGACAAUUGGCAAACAAUGAGGCUAAGCGCCGCGAGGACAGCUGGCAGUGAAUCACGCAAACUACGCCUUCGCCUGAGGUUACAGCUAAUUACUUAGGCUUUUUCCCCUCAACAUCAUCCCAACACUCCACAAGACUAAAACUGAACUAAUAAUUUCCACUGUAAAUGAGGAUAUGUGCAUACUAUAAGGUGUAAAUAGCAUUUGGCA
Perca fluviatilis (European perch) is the source of this 1378-nucleotide long non-coding RNA. RefSeq lists it as uncharacterized. The transcript is spliced from 3 exons. The record is from RefSeq and is a predicted model, not a curated record. Lineage: Eukaryota; Metazoa; Chordata; Actinopteri; Perciformes; Percidae.